RNAcentral lists this ribosomal RNA (497 nucleotides) under uncultured bacterium. Its description in RNAcentral is "partial 16S ribosomal RNA". It matches the Rfam family "Bacterial small subunit ribosomal RNA", at positions 899 to 1397 of the family's 1533-position model. The record is from RNAcentral.
ACUCAAAUGAAUAGACGGGGACCCGCACAAGCGGUGGAGCAUGUGGUUUAAUUCGACGCAACGCGAAGAACCUUACCUGGGUUAAAUCUCAGACCGCAGCCCCAGAGAUGGGGUCUCCCUUCGGGGGGUCUGGGAAGGUGCUGCAUGGCUGUCGUCAGCUCGUGCCGUGAGGUGUUGGGUUAAGUCCCGCAACGAGCGCAACCCUUACCACUAGUUGCCAGCAGGUCAAGCUGGGCACUCUAUUGGGACUGCCGGUGACAAACCGGAGGAAGGUGGGGAUGACGUCAAGUCAUCAUGGCCUUUAUGUCCAGGGCUACACACGUGCUACAAUGGCAGGAACAAAGCGCUGCAAACCCGCGAGGGGGAGCCAAUCGCAAAAAUCCUGUCUCAGUUCGGAUUGGAGUCUGCAACUCGACUCCAUGAAGUUGGAAUCGCUAGUAAUCGCGGAUCAGCACGCCGCGGUGAAUACGUUCCCGGGUCUUGUACACACCGCCCGU